UUGUGAUGAUACACCAGCUGGCACCAGUCAUAGAGUGACUUGUACUCCCUUCAUUGAUGACCAACAUUGCUGUGGUCCAAGACCAUUUCUGAU
Metarhizium album ARSEF 1941 is the source of this 93-nucleotide small nucleolar RNA. It matches the Rfam family "A. fumigatus snoRNA Afu_190". The record is from Rfam. NCBI's taxonomy places the organism in Eukaryota, Fungi, Ascomycota, Sordariomycetes, Hypocreales, Clavicipitaceae.